This 403-nucleotide ribosomal RNA is filed under the name uncultured bacterium. Its description in RNAcentral is "partial 16S ribosomal RNA". It matches the Rfam family "Bacterial small subunit ribosomal RNA", at positions 30 to 526 of the family's 1533-position model. The record is from RNAcentral.
AUUGAACGCUGGCGGCAGGCCUAACACAUGCAAGUCGAGCGAGCGGCGGACGGGUGAGUAAUGUAUGGGGACUGCCCGAUAGAGGGGGAUAACUACUGGAAACGGUAGCUAAUACCGCAUUCUAUCGGAUAACCCAUAUGGGAUGAGCUAGUAGGUGAGGUAAUGGCUCACCUAGGCGACGAUCCCUAGCUGGUUUGAGAGGACGACCAGCCAAACUGGGAUGGGGACACGGCCAAGACUCCUACGGAGGCAGAAGUGGGGAAUUUGGGAAAAUGGGGGAAACCCUGAUCAAGCCAUCCCGCGUGUAUGAUGAAGGUCUUCGGGUGGUAAAGUACUUUUGGCAGAGAAGCGGUAUCUGCAGAAUAAGCACCGGCUAACUACGUGCCAGCAGCCGCGGUAAUAC